This 429-nucleotide ribosomal RNA is filed under the name Gemmatimonadota bacterium. RNAcentral's name for it is "Gemmatimonadetes bacterium partial 16S ribosomal RNA". It matches the Rfam family "Bacterial small subunit ribosomal RNA", at positions 355 to 776 of the family's 1533-position model. The record is from RNAcentral. Lineage: Bacteria; Pseudomonadati; Gemmatimonadota.
UAGGGAAUCUUCGGCAAUGGACGAAAGUCUGACCGAGCAACGCCGCGUGAGUGAAGAAGGUUUUCGGAUCGUAAAACUCUGUUGUUAGAGAAGAACAAGGACGUUAGUAACUGAACGUCCCCUGACGGUAUCUAACCAGAAAGCCACGGCUGACUACGUGCCAGCAGCCGCGGUAAUACGUAAGUGGCAAGCGUUGUCCGGAUUUAUUGGGCGUAAAGCGAGCGCAGGCGGUUUCUUAAGUCUGAUGUGAAAGCCCCCGGCUCAACCGGGGAGGGUCAUUGGAAACUGGGAGACUUGAGUGCAGAAGAGGAGAGUGGAAUUCCAUGUGUAGCGGUGAAAUGCGUAGAUAUAUGGAGGAACACCAGUGGCGAAGGCGGCUCUCUGGUCUGUAACUGACGCUGAGGCUCGAAAGCGUGGGGAGCAAACAGG